CGGGGUGCACCAGGCGCGAAAACUCUACAAUGCAGGCAACUGCGAUAGGGGAACAUCGAGUGAUACUCAUCUUGGGUGUCUGUCCUCCCGUCUAAAAAACGGGAGUUAGCAAGGGCCGGGCAAGACCGGUGCCAGCCGCCGCGGUAAUACCGGCGGCUCGAGUGGUGGCCGAUAUUAUUGAGUCUACAGGGUCCGUAGCCGGCUUUGCAAGUCUUUUGGGAAAUCCAGCGGCUUAACCGUUGGUCGUCCGGGAGAUACUACAUUGCUUGGGACUGGGAGAGGUAGGAGGUACUCAGGGGGUAGGAGUGAAAUCCUGUAAUCCUUUGGGGACCACCGGUGGCGAAGGCGUCCUACCAGAACAGGUCCGACGGUGAGGGACGAAAGCUAGGGGCACGAACCGGAUUAGAUACCCGGGUAGUCCUAGCCGUAAACGAUGCUCGCUAGGUGUCACAACAAUCGUGAAUUGUUGUGGUGCCGUAGGGAAGCCGUGAAGCGAGCCACUUGGGAAGUACGACCGCAAGGGGAAACUUAAAGGAAUUGGCGGGGGAGCACAAGGGCGAUUCGCGG
This 567-nucleotide ribosomal RNA is filed under the name uncultured archaeon. RNAcentral describes it as "bacterial SSU rRNA". It matches the Rfam family "Archaeal small subunit ribosomal RNA", at positions 326 to 900 of the family's 1478-position model. The record is from RNAcentral.